This 28-nucleotide ribosomal RNA is filed under the name Pseudocercospora thelypteridis. Its description in RNAcentral is "partial 28S ribosomal RNA". The record is from RNAcentral. Lineage: Eukaryota; Fungi; Ascomycota; Dothideomycetes; Mycosphaerellales; Mycosphaerellaceae.
GUGACCUCGAUCAGGUAGGGAUACCCGC